Molecule: long non-coding RNA, 1372 nt
Organism: Oncorhynchus kisutch (coho salmon)
Lineage: Eukaryota; Metazoa; Chordata; Actinopteri; Salmoniformes; Salmonidae
Exons: 2
Source: RefSeq, a predicted model, not a curated record
CCAUGAAAAACCCAGAAAAUGCAUGCUGGAAGACGCGUAUGACGUCAAAAACGUCACAGGGUAUAAAUACCAAGGCCCUCCCCUUCCAGUUCAUUCCUGGAUUUGUUCUGAGGUAUUUUGUCUGAAGAGUGGCCGUCGAGGAAUUUGAAUACCUAAUAAAAACGUUUUCUUCAAUUAAUUGACAUUUCAUUCUAGUUUUGCCUCCAGUUUGUUCGUCGGAAUAGCUUUAUUUUAGCUGCCACAACCCCGCCCAAACAUUGCCAGUAGAAUGGCCUGUACUGAAGAACUCAGUGACUUUCAACGUGGCACCGUCAUAGGAUGCCACCUUUCCAACAAGUCAGUAAGUCAAAUUUCUGCUCAGCUAGAACUGCCCAGGUCAACUGUGAGUGCUGUUAUUGUGGAGUGGAAACGUCUGGGAGCAACAACUGCUGAGCCUCGAAGUGGUAAGCCACACAAGCUCACAGAACGGGACCGGCAAGUGCUGUAGCGUGAAGAUAUUGUCUGUCCUCUGCAACACACUGAGUUCCAAACUGCAUCUGAAAGCAACGUCAGCACGUAUGUUUGUUGGGAGCAGCGUCUGCUGGAGUGGUGUAAGCCAGAUAGACGGGGACUUUGAGGACUACAAACAGGUUCUGGAAACACUGGGGGAGACCCUGGUCCACUAGGUCAAAGAGUGACCUACCUACUGCAGAACCGGGGCUCUAUUGGCACUCUAUUCCCUGUACUGCACCAUUUUUCACCAGAGCACUAUGGGCCCUGGUCAAAUGUACUGCACUAUGUAGGGAAUAGGGUACCAUUUUGAACAGGCCCAGGAGGAAAUAGAAAUGUAAUGCAAAAUAACCUACCACUGAAGCUGGCUAUGUCAUUAGCUCAGUGCAUCUCGAUAGUCUAACGUGGCUUUGUUUUCUUGUCUCGCCUGAUCGUUCACCACUUAUUUGAAUAAGCAUCAUGGCUUAAGUCUCUCCCAAAUCAGUUUAUUUGAAGAAAGGUGUGGCGAGGAAGCCACGUUAAGAGUAUUGAGAAUACACCCCUGGUGUACUGCAGUAUCCUCUCGGCCUAUGAGAUGCAUACAUUUUCUUGAGUCCAAUUUGCCACCCCCUCCACACAACUGUAUAUCUGAAAAGAUAGGGUGUGAUUUGGAAUUCAGAAUUUGACUGGACAAGUGGGCAUGUCUCACCCAGGUGACAAUGGGACAGAAAUAGCAACAUGCUGAAGUAUUUCUAUUAUAGAGGAAAUGGCAAUACAUUACCAGUGGAUCCACACAUGUAGAAACCAAGCUCUUAUUACCUGGGAAUAAACAUGUUGACACCUGUAUGAUCAUAGAAUUUACUAAAGACAAAAAGGAAAUUAAAUAAAUGGAUUUUACAAUGUC